RNAcentral lists this long non-coding RNA (1164 nucleotides) under Phaseolus vulgaris (common bean). Its description in RNAcentral is "long non-coding RNA (PVUL_LNC004496)". Lineage: Eukaryota; Viridiplantae; Streptophyta; Magnoliopsida; Fabales; Fabaceae. The record is from RNAcentral.
AAACCGAGCAUGUGAGGUGGUAGGGUAUGCCUGUUAAGGCUUCAUAAAGACCAAACCAAGUUAGGCGGUGUCGGUAGGGUAUGCCGAUUAAGGCUUCAACCAGACCGAACCGAGUGUGUGAGGUAUUGGCUGCCUAUUAAGGCUUCAUCCAGACCAAACCAAGUUAGGCGGUGUCAGCAGGGUAUGCCGAUUAAGACUUCAUCCAGACCGAACUGAUGUUUGAGAGGUGCAAAUAGGAUAACAUUGAAAAGACUCGCCUCAUUAAAACCUUCCCGACCGAAAACUCUCCUUAGGAAAAAAAGGUCAGGCGAGGAAAGAGUGCGUAAAUUUUAUUUCGUUAGCUAUAGUAAAAUUUGAGAUGCGUGGCAUUCCACGUUCUCGGUACAAUUUUUCCUGAAAGCCACUCUAAGUUGUAUGCCCCCCAACUGCGAUUUCUCAGACUCGAAAGGGUCCUUCCCAGUUGAAUGAGAACAUCUCUUCACUUCUUCUCGCGUCGCUUCGCAUCCUCUAGACGAGGUCUCAUUUCUGGAAGCUCCUCGGUCGGACCUUGGUGUUGUAGUGUCUUGUCAUCCGAAGCUUGUAUGCUGCCUCCCUAAUCUUGCUCGUGUCACGAAGUUCGUUUACCAAAUCGAGGUUGACCGAGAGGUUUUCCUCAUUAAGGGUAAGGUCGAACAUCUGUCUUCGGAUGGUAGGAUCGCCUACCUCAACCGGAUCAUUGCCUCGGUUCCAUACGUCUGACUAUAUGGUGUUUCUUGAGUGGUUGUUUUGGGGGUGCAUAUGUAUGCCCAUAAGACUUCUAUCAGUUCUUCUGUCCAUCGGCCUUUCGCCUUGCUGAGACACUUCUUCAACUCGUUGAGGAUGACUUUAUUAGUGGCCUCGGCUUGCCCAUUGGUCUGGGGUGCUCGACUGAGGCCGUUAUAGACUUGAUGUCGAGGUCGACAUAAAAGGAUUGGAGCCCCUGGUCAAUGAUUUGUCGAUCGUUAUCCGUUAUUACUGUGUUCGGUAUGUCGAACCGACACACAAUACUUCGCCAUACAAAAUUUUGCACGUUUUUUGGCAGAGAUGGAUGCGAGUGGCUCGACCUCGAUCCAUUUUGUGAAGUAGUCGAUUCCAACAAGGAGGAACUUUGUUUGCCCAUUUCCUGGUGAAUGGGUCGAUGAUGUC